RNAcentral lists this ribosomal RNA (1347 nucleotides) under uncultured bacterium. Its description in RNAcentral is "bacterial SSU rRNA". It matches the Rfam family "Bacterial small subunit ribosomal RNA", at positions 28 to 1381 of the family's 1533-position model. The record is from RNAcentral.
GACGAACGCUGGCGGCGUGCUUAACACAUGCAAGUCGAACGAUGAAGCCUAGCUUGCUAGGUGGAUUAGUGGCGAACGGGUGAGUAAUACGUGAGUAACCUACCUUUAACUCUGGGAUAAGCCCGGGAAACUGGGUCUAAUACCGGAUACGACCAAUCUCCGCAUGGGGUGUUGGUGGAAAGCGUUAUGUAGUGGUUAUAGAUGGGCUCACGGCCUAUCAGCUUGUUGGUGAGGUAACGGCUCACCAAGGCGACGACGGGUAGCCGGCCUGAGAGGGUGACCGGCCACACUGGGACUGAGACACGGCCCAGACUCCUACGGGAGGCAGCAGUGGGGAAUAUUGCACAAUGGGCGCAAGCCUGAUGCAGCGACGCCGCGUGAGGGAUGACGGCCUUCGGGUUGUAAACCUCUGUUAGCAGGGAAGAAGAGAGAUUGACGGUACCUGCAGAGAAAGCGCCGGCUAACUACGUGCCAGCAGCCGCGGUAAUACGUAGGGCGCGAGCGUUGUCCGGAAUUAUUGGGCGUAAAGAGCUUGUAGGCGGUUUGUCGCGUCUGCUGUGAAGGCCGGGGCUUAACUCCGUGUAUUGCAGUGGGUACGGGCAGACUAGAGUGCAGUAGGGGAGACUGGAAUUCCUGGUGUAGCGGUGGAAUGCGCAGAUAUCAGGAGGAACACCGAUGGCGAAGGCAGGUCUCUGGGCUGUAACUGACGCUGGGAAGCGAAAGCAUGGGGAGCGAACAGGAUUAGAUACCCUGGUAGUCCAUGCCGUAAACGUUGGGCACUAGGUGUGGGGAACAUUCCACGUUUUCCGCGCCGUAGCUAACGCAUUAAGUGCCCCGCCUGGGGAGUACGGCCGCAAGGCUAAAACUCAAAGAAAUUGACGGGGGCCCGCACAAGCGGCGGAGCAUGCGGAUUAAUUCGAUGCAACGCGAAGAACCUUACCAAGGCUUGACAUAUACUGGACCGCAUCAGAGAUGGUGUUUCCCUUCGGGGCUGGUAUACAGGUGGUGCAUGGUUGUCGUCAGCUCGUGUCGUGAGAUGUUGGGUUAAGUCCCGCAACGAGCGCAACCCUCGUUCUAUGUUGCCAGCACGUAAUGGUGGGGACUCAUAGGAGACUGCCGGGGUCAACUCGGAGGAAGGUGGGGAUGACGUCAAAUCAUCAUGCCCCUUAUGUCUUGGGCUUCACGCAUGCUACAAUGGCCGGUACAGAGGGUUGCGAUACUGUGAGGUGGAGCUAAUCCCUAAAAGCCGGUCUCAGUUCGGAUUGGGGUCUGCAACUCGACCCCAUGAAGUCGGAGUCGCUAGUAAUCGCAGAUCAGCAACGCUGCGGUGAAUACGUUCCCGGGCCU